ACGGGGCCCGCACAAGCGGUGGAGCAUGUGGUUAAUUCGAUGCAACGCGAAGAACUUACCUGGACUUGACAUCCCAGGAAUUCCCCUGGAAACAGGGAAGUGCCUUCGGGAGCCUGGUGACAGGUGCUGCAUGGUUGUCGUCAGCUCGUGCCGUGAGGUGUCGGGUUAAGUCCCAUAACGAGCGCAACCCCUACCUUUAGUUGCCAUCAGGUAAUGCUGGGGACUCUAAAGGAACUGCCUACGCAAGUAGUGAGGAAGCGGGGAUGACGUCAAAUCAGCACGGCCCUUACGUCCAGGGCUACACACGUGCUACAAUGGCCGAUACAGAGGGCAGCUACCUGGUGACAGGAUGCAAAUCUCCAAAGUCGGUCUCAGUUCGGAUCGGAGUCUGCAACCCGACUCCGUGAAGUUGGAUUCGCUAGUAAUCGCGCAUCAGCCAUGGCGCGGUGAAUACGUUCCCGGGCCUU
This 467-nucleotide ribosomal RNA is filed under the name uncultured Sphingobacteriales bacterium. RNAcentral's name for it is "bacterial SSU rRNA". It matches the Rfam family "Bacterial small subunit ribosomal RNA", at positions 916 to 1381 of the family's 1533-position model. The record is from RNAcentral. Lineage: Bacteria; Pseudomonadati; Bacteroidota; Sphingobacteriia; Sphingobacteriales.